Molecule: ribosomal RNA, 346 nt
Filed under: uncultured bacterium
Lineage: Bacteria
Description: partial 16S ribosomal RNA
Rfam family: Bacterial small subunit ribosomal RNA
Source: RNAcentral
CCUACGGGAGGCAGCAGUGGGGAAUAGUGGGCAAUGGGCGCAAGCCUGACCCAGCAACGCCGCGUGAAGGAAGAAGGCUUUCGGGUUGUAAACUUCUUUUCUCAGGGACGAAGCAAGUGACGGUACCUGAGGAAUAAGCCACGGCUAACUACGUGCCAGCAGCCGCGGUAAUACGUAGGGGGCAAGCGUUAUCCGGAUUUACGGGGUGUAAAGGGCGUGUAGGCGGGACUGCAAGUCAGAUGGGAAAACCCCGGGCUCAACCUGUUGCCUGCAUUUGAAACGGUAGUUCUUGAGUACUGGCGCGGCAGCCGGCAUUCCUCGUGUAGCGGUGCAAUGCGUAGAUCUU